AGCUUGCUGGGUGGAUUAGUGGCGAACGGGUGAGUAACACGUGAGUAACCUGCCCUUAACUCUGGGAUAAGCCUGGGAAACUGGGUCUAAUACCGGAUAGGAGCGUCCACCGCAUGGUGGGUGUUGGAAAGAUUUAUCGGUUUUGGAUGGACUCGCGGCCUAUCAGCUUGUUGGUGAGGUAAUGGCUCACCAAGGCGACGACGGGUAGCCGGCCUGAGAGGGUGACCGGCCACACUGGGACUGAGACACGGCCCAGACUCCUACGGGAGGCAGCAGUGGGGAAUAUUGCACAAUGGGCGAAAGCCUGAUGCAGCGACGCCGCGUGAGGGAUGACGGCCUUCGGGUUGUAAACCUCUUUCAGUAGGGAAGAAGCGAAAGUGACGGUACCUGCAGAAGAAGCACCGGCUAACUACGUGCCAGCAGCCGCGGUAAUACGUAGGGUGCGAGCGUUAUCCGGAAUUAUUGGGCGUAAAGAGCUCGUAGGCGGUUUGUCGCGUCUGUCGUGAAAGUCCGGGGCUUAACCCCGGAUCUGCGGUGGGUACGGGCAGACUAGAGUGCAGUAGGGGAGACUGGAAUUCCUGGUGUAGCGGUGGAAUGCGCAGAUAUCAGGAGGAACACCGAUGGCGAAGGCAGGUCUCUGGGCUGUAACUGACGCUGAGGAGCGAAAGCAUGGGGAGCGAACAGGAUUAGAUACCCUGGUAGUCCAUGCCGUAAACGUUGGGCACUAGGUGUGGGGACCAUUCCACGGUUUCCGCGCCGCACCUAACGCAUUAAGUGCCCCGCCUGGGGAGUACGGCCGCAAGGCUAAAACUCAAAGGAAUUGACGGGGGCCCGCACAAGCGGCGGAGCAUGCGGAUUAAUUCGAUGCAACGCGAAGAACCUUACCAAGGCUUGACAUGUUCUCGAUCGCCGUAGAGAUACGGUUUCCCCUUUGGGGCGGGUUCACAGGUGGUGCAUGGUUGUCGUCACCUCGUGUCGUGAGAUGUUGGGUUAAGUCCCGCAACGAGCGCAACCCUCGUUCCUGUUGCCAGCACGUAAUGGUGGGGACUCAUGGGAGACUGCCGGGGUCAACUCGGAG
This is a ribosomal RNA of 1078 nucleotides. It matches the Rfam family "Bacterial small subunit ribosomal RNA", at positions 77 to 1168 of the family's 1533-position model.